GUAAUGGCAGGUCAGCAUACUGCCGUGAAUACGUUCCCGGGCCUUGUACACACCGCCCGUCACACCAUGAGAGUUGGGAAUACCCGAAGCCUGUGAGCUAACUUUUAGAGGCAGCAGUCGAAGGUAGAAUCAAUGAUUGGGGUGAAGUCGUAACAAGGUAAC
This 162-nucleotide ribosomal RNA is filed under the name uncultured bacterium. RNAcentral's name for it is "partial 16S ribosomal RNA". It matches the Rfam family "Bacterial small subunit ribosomal RNA", at positions 1338 to 1500 of the family's 1533-position model. The record is from RNAcentral.